This 994-nucleotide ribosomal RNA is filed under the name uncultured crenarchaeote. RNAcentral's name for it is "bacterial SSU rRNA". It matches the Rfam family "Archaeal small subunit ribosomal RNA", at positions 459 to 1451 of the family's 1478-position model. The record is from RNAcentral. Lineage: Archaea; Thermoproteati; Thermoproteota.
CAGCAGCCGCGGUAAUACCAGCCCCUCGAGUGGUGGGGAUGAUUAUUGGGCCUAAAGCGUCCGUAGCCUGCCGUGUAAGUUUCCCGUUAAAUCCAACGUCUCAAGCGUUGGACCGCGGGAAAUACUGUACGGCUAGAGAGUGGGAGAGGUCAGCGGUAUUCUGGGGGUAGGGGCGAAAUCCUUUGAUCCCCGGAGGACCACCAGUGGCGAAGGCUGCUGUCUAGAACACGUCUGACGGUCAGGGACGAAAGCUGGGGUAGCGAACCGGAUUAGAUACCCGGGUAGUCCCAGCCGUAAACGAUGCAUGCUAGUGUUGGGGGUUGGCCACGAGCCACCCCAGUGCCGCAGGGAAACCGUUAAGCAUGCCGCCUGGGAAGUACCAUCGCAAGGUUGAAACUUAAAGGAAUUGGCGGGGGAGCACCACCAGGCGUGAAGCCUGCGGUUUAAUUGGAGUCAACGCCGGGAACCUUACCGGGAGCGACAGCAGAGUGAAGGUCAGAUUGAAGAUCUUACCAGACGAGCUGAGAGGAGGUGCAUGGCCGUCGCCAGUUCGUGCCGUGAGGUGUUAUGUUAAGUCAUAUAACGAACGAGACCCGUGCCGCAUGUUGCCACCAGAAUCUAAAGGAUUGCUGAGCACUCUUGCGGGACCGCAGCCGAUAAGGCUGAGGAAGGUACGGGCAACGGCAGGUCAGUAUGCCCCGAAUCUCCCGGGCCACACGCGGGCUGCAAUGGUAUAGACAGAGGGCUGCCACCCCGAGAGGGGGAGCCAAUCCCUAAACUGUACCUCAGUUGGGAUCGAGGGCUGCAACCCGCCCUCGUGAACAUGGAAUGCCUAGUAACCGCCAGUCAUCAUCUGGCGGUGAAUACGUCCCUGCUCCUUGCACACACUGCCCGUCGAACCACCCGAAUGAGGUUUGGGUGAGGAAUGGUCGAAUGUUGGCGGUUUCAAACCUGGGCCUCGUAAGCCCGGUUAAGUCGUAACAAGGUAACCGUA